AUCCAACUGACGAAUCCAAAAUAAGACGAAAAGCGUGUCAAACUGGAU
Schistosoma mattheei is the source of this 48-nucleotide non-coding RNA. NCBI's taxonomy places the organism in Eukaryota, Metazoa, Platyhelminthes, Trematoda, Strigeidida, Schistosomatidae. The record is from Rfam.